Molecule: ribosomal RNA, 455 nt
Filed under: uncultured bacterium
Lineage: Bacteria
Description: bacterial SSU rRNA
Rfam family: Bacterial small subunit ribosomal RNA
Source: RNAcentral
AACGAACGCUGGCGGCAGGCUUAACACAUGCAAGUCGAACGGUUGUAGCAAUACAGCAGUGGCGCACGGGUGAGUAACGCGUGGAUAUCUGCCUUUUGGUUCGGAAUAACUCCGGGAAACUGGAGCUAAUACCGGAUGGUUCCUACGGGAUAAAGAUUUAUCGCCAAAAAGAUGAGUCCGCGUACGAUUAGCUAGUUGGUGAGGUAAUGGCUCACCAAGGCGACGAUCGUUAGCUGGUCUGAGAGGACGAUCAGCCACACUGGGACUGAGACACGGCCCAGACUCCUACGGGAGGCAGCAGUGGGGAAUAUUGGGACAAUGGGGGCAACCCUGAUCCAGCCAUGCCGCGUGAGUGAUGAAGGCCUUCGGGUUGUAAAGCUCUUUUGGUCGGGGACGAUGAUGACGGUACCCGCAGAAUAAGCCCCGGCUAACUUCGUGCCAGCAGCCGCGGUAAU